CGGUUAUUCGCGUCGACAGGGGAUGAGAACGCUGGUCGGACCUGUGUCACUUCCGGACCUGGUUGGUGACGUGCACUGGGCUGUAUAUCUGGCAUGCGUCUCCUUUCAGUUGCCAGAGAAUUUGCUUAUUCCGCCGUAUUCCGGAAGCCAAUAUCUAUCUACAUCGGUACCCACUAGGCGCCGUUACUCGUCCACAAGUCUGCAACUGUGGGUCAUGAGGUCAGUGGCAUGCUCUUUGGCUUGUCAUAUGUUGGGUAGACCAACCACACAUGUCGACAGUCUUCAGAAGACAUCGCUUGCGCAAGUAGGCAGUGUCGCAGGACUAGUUGUCACUCUUGCAGUAGGAAGAACCGAAGGGCCUCUCGCUAGUUUAUUUCCGGGAAUGGUCGAACGUGCAUUUUCCAACUGGCGUGGGAAGAAUGUAAGACUAUUUGGUGUCAGUUCCAUUAAUACACUCAGCCACAAUCUUCGUGGAAGUACGCACCCUGACGUGCUGAGGAAAUGCUGCUGACAAAUCACUGCUCUAUUUGCGGGGUUGCUUUUAUGAAAUACGUCCUCAUAUGCAGUAUUCUAGUGUUAGCAUUCUUUCAGAUAACGUCUGUUUGUGUUGGAUCUCACGGUGCAAGCUCCGAGAGCGUACUUACUGAUGAAGAACAUCUCGUACGCAAAUUUUGAUUCAACAAUAGAAUGUUCCUUUCGGUGACUGGAUGUCAGCUACAAAAGCACAACUUCCUUCAACAGGCGCAUGGUGGAAACGGAAGAUCGUUACGAUUUCACGUUGACAUACGUGGAGGCACGUACCAUCCUGAAAGCAGCGAACUAAAUGAAGCAAGCCGGCAAGCUGGCGCGCAAGCGAUAGCAGAAGAUGGGCUUAGACGCUCAUUAUCGUGACCGCUGCUCGACGAUGGCGAAAGCUGAUUUUGUGGUAAACGACGCGGUUAUUUGCAUCUUCACUUCGACACGGUACUGAAAUUGCGUAACCUUCCUUGCUGAGGAACAUCAAAACGCGGCAUCCUGUGAGCUAUCUCCAAUAUUUGUAAACUCAAAUAAGUAUUUUCUCAGGUGACAAGACAAUCUUUGAUUCGUCUGGAUGUCUUCCGACGUCUGCGGUUCCCUGCACAAUUGCUAGUUCAGCUCUGUUGCACUAAUGAGUCACAGAAUGUGAGUUCUUCGUUGUUUUUGGGGAUGCGAUGACGUGGGUGUUUUACGAAGUGUCACGAGUUUGGCAAUGUGGUUGUGUUCUCGGGAACCACACUGACGGCUGAAGGGCACUUGGAAGGAUCUGCGUUUGCCACGGGUACGAGUCGCAAACACCCUUUGUCAGGAGAGAACACCUCAGUGCUUCCGAUGAACUGAAGCGACACGAACAUGAUUCAAACGGAUGAAGCUAGAAGGAUGACUGAUGUGUCGGUCUGGCUAUCUUGGCUGCCUACGCAGAACAGUGUUCGGUGUUGUUCACGGCGUCAGCGCGUUCUGCUGGAAGGACACAGAAGGAUUUCAUUGCUUUGCGCUCGGACCGAUGUCGCACGGUGAACAUGGUGAGCAAAAAUUGACGUUGGUGCCGCUUGCGAAUCUGCAGAUGCCGCGUGCCUGGGAAGAGUAUACUGCCUUGAAGGCAUCCAUUGGCGUUUGCGUGUUCAGUACUCUACACCUGACAGAAGCAGGCACUGACGGAGCCACUCCGUACAACCCACUGUGAUAUACACUUCGUAGUCACUCAUGAAAAGAGAGCCUAUACCUAUUGAUGCGGCGGAAUGCUGUGCAGAUGCGAUCAGAACAGAUGUGUGACAAACCACCUCAUCCUCGCGGCGAAUGAUGUACGAGCAAAGGGUCACUUGUUUCGCCAGCUGCUGGUACAUGCGUUUCGUGUUUCUUUUUUGUCGGAAACCGGAGCAACGGGAAAAUCUUUUACGUUCGGCCGAUGCAAUGGGUACGCGGAAGCCAACGUAGAGUUGCCUCGGAGGAAUUGAGCAGUACACAGGAAGAUGUGACGAUACGCCAUUACCUGUAUCUCUCCAACCCUCAGGGAGUGAGUGGAUAUCAUUCUGAUCGUACACUGCAGGCGAUCCGUUGUCUUUGUUGUAUGUCACGGCCAAAACUAGAGUACUUUUUCCCGGUGACUUCUACAAACAAGGAAGCUUUGCGCAGCAAUGAUUCACUCUGAUAUAUCAACGAGAGGGAUGGAUAUACGUACCGACGUGUUGUACGGGCUCCGUGGUUCUCUAUUCUUGUGGCUGUGAUGUCGCACUUCCGAUUGUAGAGAUUGAAGCUGGGGGAUGCAGUGGCAAAAUGUAUACUUCACCGGCAAACAUGCAAACUACCUCGUGUUCAGCUCACGUGUACGAGGACAGAUUGCGUCAUUGUUAUAGUGCGGAUCCUUUCGUCCUUUUAUGACGUGAAAUGCAUAUUCCGUAGCUUCUGCCGCUAAAGAUUGACUGGAACUGUUUCCCUUUAUGUCUUCGUGAAGAUUGUGAGCGGUGACGUGGGCGCAGUGACGUCCCCCUGAUAGAGUCCAGUGACGGACAUGACUGCAUUCUGCAACUACGUCGAGGCACCAGUUGCUCAGGAAUGUUUCUGGGAGUUUGGUGCUGGCCACAAAGACGACAGAACCUGAUUACUGUUGUAGCGCUGGUCGGUGGCACCCCGCCGUGCAAGAGAAAGAGCCCGCUUGCGUGGUAGGACGACUGGGCUGUCACCGUCUUUCAAGUGCGAGCUAACAUUUCGACGCCGAACUACAGGAACAUUGUCUUUUUUGGUCCAGUAGCAAUCGGAUAUAUCACUGACCGGAGAAGCACGAACAUCGUACGGUUCGUCCUGGAAAGGCAGCUGUUGAUGCUGUGCAGGUGCAAUGGCAGGUUCAUGUAGCAAAACAGGAAGAGUUAACAAGAACAGGUACUGGGAUCCGGGUAGUUGACACCGAGCACCGUGAAAAAGGGGCACCCAGCCAUGUACUUGACGCCUCAACGCCAAUAGGUCUCGUUUGAAUUCCUUUUGCCACAUGGCUCAGCAAAUCCCGCCACAAUGAAGGUAUUACUUAGAGAAGCCAUCGAACGGGGGCUUGACUGUGUAUCACUUCGAUCUCCAGAAAAGUGUUUCAGGCUUAAAGGCAUAGCAUCCUGAUCGUAACUGUUGAUUGUGGUACACCAUUUUCUCCCGAGUCGUAACUGUGGUAGCGUCACUGUGGGCAGCCACUUCCACCCUUCCUACGCUGCAAUCAACGGAAACCAUAAUUGUCGGUCUUGCAUUCACACAUUGGCGUUUCUUGCCCCUGUAGCAAGUAAGAGUUUCUUGCUGUAAGAAACAAAUCCAAACCUCAUCAACGUCAAGAUAGGAACAUCGCUGAACCAUAAGAUAAUGCCGUUUCUGCGAUGCAUAGUCGCAUACAUCACAGCGCAUGAACUAAUCAAAAGAGUGAUAUUUAGCGCUCACCAGCUGAUGCGCGCACUAUUUGACUUCGGAACGGAAUACCAUUGGAUAUUGUUUACGUGAAAUCUGUUUGGGAAUUUAGCUGUGCGAGCUCAACACAAGAGUCAACAGGGUUGGAUAAGGUGCUUGAGCUUUGGAAUAUCCUAAACGCAUGUGACACUCUGGCAUUCAUCUGAAAGUUGGAAGAAUGUGAUUUGUCUUGGAGUUUCAUCUUGCUUGCAGCGAACUGCUCGAAGUCAUUUCUUGGACUUGCACAAUUUCUCUUGGCCGGUGCAGGGCGUGAGCGAAACAGUGCUGACGCGUAGCAGUCCCAUUGUCUGGUUAACUUCGCCGUUUAACAACAGAUGGGACAACAAAACACAUGAUGCAACAAGCAAAAUUGGUUUCUGUUAGCUCUUCCUCAUUCACAAUCAGGCAGUAAGCAUUGAGCCCA
Molecule: long non-coding RNA, 3859 nt
Filed under: Toxoplasma gondii VEG
Lineage: Eukaryota; Apicomplexa; Conoidasida; Eucoccidiorida; Sarcocystidae
Source: RNAcentral